This 301-nucleotide ribosomal RNA is filed under the name uncultured bacterium. RNAcentral describes it as "partial 16S ribosomal RNA". It matches the Rfam family "Bacterial small subunit ribosomal RNA", at positions 509 to 807 of the family's 1533-position model. The record is from RNAcentral.
CAGUCGCCGCGGGAAUACGAAGGGUGCAAGCGUUAAUCGGAAUUACUGGGCGUAAAGCGUGCGUAGGCGGUUUGUUAAGUCUGCUGUGAAAUCCCCGGGCUCAACCUGGGAAUGGCAGUGGAUACUGGCAAGCUAGAGUGUGUCAGAGGAUGGUGGAAUUCCCGGUGUAGCGGUGAAAUGCGUAGAGAUCGGGAGGAACAUCAGUGGCGAAGGCGGCCAUCUGGGACAACACUGACGCUCAGGUGCGAAAGCGUGGGGAGCAAACAGGAUUAGAUACCCGGGUAGUCCCUGUCUCUUAUAC